Cinara cedri is the source of this 204-nucleotide non-coding RNA. The record is from the annotation of a GenBank genome assembly. NCBI's taxonomy places the organism in Eukaryota, Metazoa, Arthropoda, Insecta, Hemiptera, Aphididae.
ACUCGGUUAUUUAAAUUGGAAAAAAAUUUAAAAAUUACCAAAAAAAAAAAAAAAGCUGCCCUAAAUUGACGGAGAUGAAUGUAGCCACUGUCAUAGGUAAUUUAAUUUAUAUCUACAAGCAACGAUUAGCCAUUGCUAACGAAAAACGAUUCUGUGCGGAGUUCGGUUGAUAGUGUUGCUUUGCUAACAAUACGUGUAUUGUAU